CAGCACUGCACAGCAAGCACAGCACCGUGCACCAUGCACACCACCAGCACCCAGCACUGCACACCCAGUACAGCAUCAUGCAUCCAGCACACAGCACCAUGCACCCAGCACAGCACCAGCACUGUGCACCCAGCACCAGCACCCAGCACAGGACCAGCACCCUGCAUCCAGAACACAACACUGCACACCCAGCACUCAGCACCCAGCACAGCACCAGCACCCAGCAUGGCACCGUGCACCCAGCACACAGCACCAUGCACCAAGCACAGCACCGUGCACCAGCACCCAGCACACAGCACCGUGCAUCCAGCACAGCACCGUGCACCAAGCACAGCACCGUGCACCCUGCAUCCAGAACACAACACUGCACACCCAGCACACAGCGCCCAGCACAGCACCAGCACCCAGCACCGUGCACCCAAAGGAGCAAUGUGGGGCCCAUGUAGGGACACGGCUGCUGUGCAAAAGCAAACGAAAGAGCAUCAAUAACGAGAGCCAGUCACCAGGGCAGUGAGAGGGAAUCCCCAUGGAGGCAACGCGUGCUGCGCGCUGGUGCAGUGCUGUGCUGGGUGCACGGUGCUGUGUGCUUGGUGCACGGUGCUGUGCGCUGGGUGCACGGUGCUGUGCGCUGGGUGCACGGUGCUGUGCGCUGGGUGCACGGUGCGUGCGAGGCAGCAGGGCUGCGGACGAGCAUCAGCAAAUAGCUGCCCCAGACAGCAGCGUGUUUUCUUCCUGGUGCGUGACCCGAAGCACCCAGGGAUUGGCAAUGAUGGCUCACCCCAAACUUCCUCGCAUUUGGCCCCGGCCCCGCGAGGCGGCCACCCAGCUCCUGUGCCGCCGACGGAGCCGGGCCGCUCGCAUCUGUCCCCCGGGGAUGCAGCAGAGGAGCAGGGGACAGAGCCCUGGGGUCCGUUCUGGCCACGGCACCGCUCCCGAGCGUGCCCUCCCGGCGUUAGAACGCACAUCACCACGUGCCAGCGUCGGCUGGGGACGGACGUGGGCCGUCCAAAACGAGACGUGACUCCGGGUCACCGCUCUGCCCAGGACAGCGGGGCCGUCCCGGUGGGGUUGGUGGGUCCCCAAGGAAAACCCACAUCACCCGGAUCUCCGACGGGUGCAAUUCAGCCACAGCCGUCGUGCGGUGCUUGGAACAAACGCGUCCCCGCCGCUCGGGCUCACGCAGCGUUAGUCCCCAGCCAAAAAUCGGACAACUCUCCCCAUCCCAGCCCCAAAUCCGCUUUCCCGACAGCUCUCCCCACCCCUGACAUCGUCCCAGGAUCCGCAGCAGCCGGUGCUCAGCUCGGCGCAGCCCUCAGGGGGUGCUGGGCACCUGGAGAACCCGGCCCGAAGCGACCGUGGCUGGGAUCCGCCGGGCUGGGAGCGCAGGGGUGCAGACGUGGGGGGCUGGACGGGGGGCAGCAGGGAUGGAGGGGAGAGAGACGGAGCCCUGACCCACGGGCACGGAGCCGGGCAGGUGACCCCAUCCCAGCACAGCUCAGACUGGGACGGGGAAGCGGUGGAGUCCCCGUCCCUGUAGGUGUCCGGGAACCGUGGGGAUGUGGCACGGGGGGGGACACGGGCAGCGGGCAGGGUGGGGGUGGGCGGGCUGGAAGAUCGAGGAUCUUGGAAGCCUUCUCCAGCCUUAACAAGCCCACCGUUGCGUUUAGGGACGUGGUUUAUCAUGGGCGCAGCGGUGACGGGUUGGAGGCUGAGCUCGGCGUCCAUCCUUCAUGGCUCUCUGAGCUCCGACUUCGAGCCAGGGACGCCCAAACGCAGGGCAGCCCCCCCCCCCCUCCCCCUCCCAUAACGCAGGACGGACAGAACGGGAUGACUUUGGGUUGGGCCCUUUUCUGUGCUCGUUGUCCCACCUCCGCCCGGGGCGAGGAUUUACCCCGGCUCUGGCGUCGGUCCCGAGUGCC
RNAcentral lists this long non-coding RNA (1919 nucleotides) under Numida meleagris (helmeted guineafowl). RNAcentral's name for it is "lncRNA (ENSNMEG00000002241.1)". The record is from RNAcentral. Lineage: Eukaryota; Metazoa; Chordata; Aves; Galliformes; Numididae.